This 253-nucleotide ribosomal RNA is filed under the name uncultured bacterium. RNAcentral's name for it is "partial 16S ribosomal RNA". It matches the Rfam family "Bacterial small subunit ribosomal RNA", at positions 524 to 776 of the family's 1533-position model. The record is from RNAcentral.
UACAGAGGGGGCUAGCGUUGUUCGGAAUUACUGGGCGUAAAGGGCGCGUAGGCGGCCCGCUAAGUCGAACGUGAAAUCCCCGGGCUCAACCCGGGAACUGCGUCCGAUACUGGCAGGCUUGAAUCCGGGAGAGGGAUGUGGAAUUCCAGGUGUAGCGGUGAAAUGCGUAGAUAUCCAGCGGAACACCAGUGGCGAAGGCGGCCUACUGGGCUCCACCUGACACUGAGGCGCGAAAGCGUGGGGAGCGAACAGG